This 1338-nucleotide ribosomal RNA is filed under the name uncultured bacterium. Its description in RNAcentral is "16S ribosomal RNA". It matches the Rfam family "Bacterial small subunit ribosomal RNA", at positions 42 to 1388 of the family's 1533-position model. The record is from RNAcentral.
GCGUGCUUAACACAUGCAAGUCGAACGGAAAGGCCCUGCUUUUGUGGGGUGCUCGAGUGGCGAACGGGUGAGUAACACGUGAGUAACCUGCCCUUGACUUUGGGAUAACUUCAGGAAACUGGGGCUAAUACCGGAUAGGAGCUCCUGCUGCAUGGUGGGGGUUGGAAAGUUUCGGCGGUUGGGGAUGGACUCGCGGCUUAUCAGCUUGUUGGUGGGGUAGUGGCUUACCAAGGCUUUGACGGGUAGCCGGCCUGAGAGGGUGACCGGCCACAUUGGGACUGAGAUACGGCUCAGACUCCUACGGGAGGCAGCAGUGGGGAAUAUUGCACAAUGGGCGGAAGCCUGAUGCAGCAACGCCGCGUGCGGGAUGACGGCCUUCGGGUUGUAAACCGCUUUCGCCUGUGACGAAGCGUGAGUGACGGUAAUGGGUAAAGAAGCACCGGCUAACUACGUGCCAGCAGCCGCGGUGAUACGUAGGGUGCGAGCGUUGUCCGGAUUUAUUGGGCGUAAAGGGCUCGUAGGUGGUUGAUCGCGUCGGAAGUGUAAUCUUGGGGCUUAACCCUGAGCGUGCUUUCGAUACGGGUUGACUUGAGGAAGGUAGGGGAGAAUGGAAUUCCUGGUGGAGCGGUGGAAUGCGCAGAUAUCAGGAGGAACACCAGUGGCGAAGGCGGUUCUCUGGGCCUUUCCUGACGCUGAGGAGCGAAAGCGUGGGGAGCGAACAGGCUUAGAUACCCUGGUAGUCCACGCUGUAAACGGUGGGUACUAGGUGUGGGGUCCAUUCCACGGGUUCCGCGCCGUAGCUAACGCUUAAAUACCCCGCCUGGGGAGUACGGCCGCAAGGCUAAAACUCAAAGGAAUUGACGGGGCCCCGCACAAGCGGCGGAGCAUGCGGAUUAAUUCGAUGCAACGCGUAGAACCUUACCUGGGUUUGACAUGGAUCGGGAGUGCUCAGAGAUGGGUGUGCCUCUUUUGGGGUCGGUUCACAGGUGGUGCAUGGCUGUCGUCAGCUCGUGUCGUGAGAUGUUGGGUUAAGUCCCGCAACGAGCGCAACCCUUGUUCACUGUUGCCAGCACGUUAUGGUGGGGACUCAGUGGAGACCGCCGGGGUCAACUCGGAGGAAGGUGGGGAUGACGUCAAGUCAUCAUGCCCCUUAUGUCCAGGGCUUCACGCAUGCUACAAUGGCUGGUACAGAGAGUGGCGAGCCUGUGAGGGUGAGCGAAUCUCGGAAAGCCGGUCUCAGUUCGGAUUGGGGUCUGCAACUCGACCUCAUGAAGUUGGAGUCGCUAGUAAUCGCAGAUCAGCAACGCUGCGGUGAAUACGUUCCCGGGGCUUGUACAC